AUCUAAAGCGCUUGUAGCUUCGUCCAGAAGCAGUAUCUUCGGACUUUUGACAAUGGCACGAGCAAUGGCAACACGCUGCUUCUGCCCACCAGAUAACUGUAUGCCUCUCUCCCCUACUAAGGUAUCAUAUCCCUACAAGUUUCCAUCAAACAAUGUUUGCAUCAGAUUACAUCUUAAAUUCCUGCAUAUAUUUUUUUGCAGUGUGUGUUUCUCUAACCUGUUGCAAUCCACUUAUGAACUGAUGAGCAUUGGCUUUUUCUGCUGCAGCUAUAACUUCAGCUUCAGUUGCAUCGCCACCCUUCCCAUAAGCAAUGUUGCUUCUAAUCGUAUCAUUGAACAAGGCUGGUUCUUGGCUUACAAGUCCCAUCUGUUGCCUCAACCACUUCACUUGCAAGGUUCGUAUUUCGAUCCCAUCAAGUGUAAUAUUACCUGCGUUUGGAUCAUAAAAUCUUUCCAGAAGUGCAAUCACAGUUGAUUUUCCACUUCCACUUUCUCCAACUAAAGCAACUGUCUGCAAAAUGAUACCAACAGAAGAAUAAUAAUGAAUAUAUGGAUUUGGACACAGCCAGAGUCUUAUAAGUAAGAAUGUCUUGCCUUGCCACUUCGAAUUGUCAAGCUAAGGUCUCGCAAAAUUUGAACAUCAGGUCGAGUUGGAUACAUAAAGCUUAUGUGCUGUAACUGUAUAUCUCCGUUUACAUUCUGUAAUGUAACACCUGAUUCUUCGUUCAGGUCUAUUUCCGGCUUUCUGUCUAGGAUUGAAAAAAUAGAUGCAGCAGCUGCUUUAGCUUUGUAUGAAUCUGAUGCCACGGAACUUGAUUGAGAAAUACUGAUAGCAGCCAUUGUCAGUGCAAAGAAAACCUGCAAGGUAAAUAAACGUCUCACAAUAGUUGAAUUAUCUGCACUUUGACAUGUUUAAAUCACGAAUGUGUGGAAAAUGUAGGCUCUUACACGAUAAACGUUUUCAAAAUCUGUUAUCCCUAGUGCAACAAAACGCGCUCCAGCGUAAAAGCUAACUGCAUAAACAAAAUAUAGUGAGGCAGAAGAUAGGCCGAACCCUGUUCCACUAAUCAUUCCUUGCCUGAUCCCAUUUUUCUUUGGACCUUCACAUUUCUUCGUGUACAAGUCGAUUACUUUCUCUUCAGCACAGAAAGAAGCAACUGUUCUUAUACUCCCAACUGCAUCAGUUGCAACUUGGCUCGCGUCCUCGUACAUCGCCUUCGCAUCUGAACUGAACCCUGAUAAGAACAUUGUCUGAACAUAUCCAUUAACUGCUACCAAGGGUAUCAAAGCAAGGAUGACAAAAGCCAGCUGCCAACAUGCUACGAAAGCAAUAAUUAAACCAGAUACUGCUGAAGCUCCGUCUUGAACCAGUUGUCCGAGUCUAUCACCAACUAAUGCACGUACAGUGGCUGCAUCUGUAGAAAGUCUAGCACCAAUUGCCCCACUCGAGUUCUCAGGCUUGUCGAACCAUCCUACUUCCAUGCUCGCCACCUUCUCAAAACACAAAGAUCUGAUCCUUUUUAUUAAAUUACAACCGGCCACAGCAAAAAAGUAUGACUGUGCUGGAUAUGCAACAAAUGAUACCGUUCCAAGGGCUACAAACAUCAGGGCCCAGAAUUUCGAGUCCUUGCUCAAUUCAUGAGGUGCCUCAAAUAAUAUUUUUAUAGUGCUCGAAAGUAGCACACCAAAUAUAGGAUAUGUAACACCAUUGACGAUAGCAGCUAGAGAUCCUGCAAACAGGGCAGGAAUCUCAGGCUUGUUAAGAUAUGCAAGCCUUCUAAGGGGAACUUCUGGACUUGUUUUCUGGUUCGGGUCUUUAGGCUCAGGUUCAGGUUUGGGUUCUGGUUCUCCUAUUACGAUUUCAGUAUGUCCGGUGGGUAAACGAAACGAUAGGGUGAGUGAACGACGGCUGCUGCUAUUUCCUACACCAGAAGACACCCUGCUAAUGGAACUGUACAUCCUUUGACUCGAAGCGCUACCACUUCCUGCACCAGCAUCAGUCUUGUCACGGCUGUUGCUCACUUCUUGCAAUUUUAUUAGCUGAGAGUAUGGGCCUUCAGAGUUUUCAAGUAAUUCGACAUGGGUGCCUGAUUGAUCAGCAAAAUAACAUUAGAAACAAUGCUAAAACUUAUUUGUCUCUACCAUUUCCACCACAUAAAUUGUGAUUUUGGAUUAUACCUUUUUCAACCAUCUUCCCUUGAUGGAUCACUGCAAUCAUAUCAGCAUUGAUCACUGUGCUCAAACGAUGUGCCACAAUGACAGUGGUUCUGUUAACCAUGAUCCUGUCCAGCGCCUCCUGCACAAUUCUCUCAGACUCUGCAUCAAGUGCACUAGUUGCUUCAUCAAGAAGUAGGAUUCGCGGGUCCUUAAGAAUCGCUCUGGCUAUGGCCACUCUCUGCUUUUGUCCACCAGAAAGCUGAGUUCCAUGCUCACCUACCAUGGUGUCCAGUCCCUAUUAUCAAAUUCAAGGGUCAGUUGACAUAUUUUCCCCGAAAAAAAAUUAGAAAAAGCUAUGAUCAGCUUCCUAACCUGAGGUAGUUUAUCAAUGAACUUAGCAGCAUUUGCUAGCUCACAUGCUGCUCUGAUCUCCUCAACAGUUGCACCAUCCUUACCGUAAGCAAUGUUGUCCUUUAUGCUAGAUGAAAACAAAACAGGUUCUUGACUAACAAGCCCAAUUUUUUCUCUAAUCCACUUGAGCUGAAAUUCCUUCAGAUUUGUUCCAUCUAUAAGAACCUCACCGCCUUGUGGAUCGUAAAAUCUCUCUAUCAGACUUAUCACUGUAGACUUCCCACUACCACUCUGUCCAACCAAAGCUGCAGUUGUCCCGCUGGGGAUGGCCAGGGAGAAUCCACUAAAUAUUUGCUCAUCAGGCCUUGCUGGAUAACUGAAGUGGACAUCUCUCAACUCUAUAUCGCCUUGAAUGUCAUCUAAUUUUUUCCCACGCUUAUCAUAUGGAUCUAUAACUGGUCUCCUAUUUAUAGUUUCAAACAUCUUGAAAGCUGCAGCUCUGCCUGCUGCAAACGCGCUCAUGCAAGGAGACGCCUGCCCAAGAGACCUGUGAACAGACAGUUUGGCCCAAGAUUUCAAUACUAGCACAACAAGUAAUCAUAGAAUGAUUAAUCAGAUCAAGGUACUUCUUACAUAGCACCAGUAAGAACAGCAACAAUGACAACGAUCACAGUACCCCCGGAAUAGCCUUUUUCAAUAACCAGCUUUGCACCAAACCAGACAGCCAUUGCAUAACUGCAGAAUGCAACAGACAUAACUGUGCCUAGUCCUAGUCCAGAAGCAAAGCCUUCCUGAACACCUGAUUUAUAAGCUUUUGUAAGAGAUUUGUUGUAGUUGACCACAGCUUGUCUCUCCCCGGUAAAAGAAGCAACCUACAAAAAUUUUAGAAGUGUUUAUAAUGGCAAGCCUACUCAAAGUUGAGUUUUCAUGUUUAAACUCAAAAUACGGAUGAGAUAAUACCGUUCUUAUUGAUCCAAUUGUUUGUUCCACAAUUGUUGCUGCUUUUGCAUACGCAUCUUGUCCGCGAGUAGACAUCUUGGAGCUAACAAGGGACAUCAUUCCACCAGCCAUCACGAUUGGUGGAAUAGAACUCAUCAGGACUACUGUAAGGAGCCAUCCGUUGAAGAAAGCCACAAAAUAGCCUCCAACGAAUCCUGUAAUCAUCUGUAUAAAUUUCCCAACCUAUAGCAAAAUGUUGAAUGUUACUUUUUCCUCUUGAUUACCAAAUGGUCUAAACAACGCGUUUAGAAACUAAUUGUUCCCUUCCUGGGAAGCUAGCUACUUACUGUAAUCUUUAGAAGUUCUUACCUUCUCACCCAUGGCAUCUUGUAUGAGAACAGUAUCGCCAGACAUCCUUCCAACGACUUCUCCAGUAUUCGUUUCCAUAUCAAAGAAGGUAAUAUCUUGUCUUAAUAUAUUCUGCAGGUAUAAUUUUCUUAUCCUGGAAGCCUGUCUCUCUCCGGUGACCAUCCAGCAAGCCACCUCUGUAAACACAAUCGAAGGUAUUUCAUAUUUGCGUUUAGAUUUGAAUGCAUACAGCUGCUACUUCAACAUAUGCAGUUCUACACUGCAAAUUAAUGUGAAAUUUACUUACGCAGAAAUGAUGCUACACCAGUUCCCAGUCCCAGAUAAACAAACUUUAGCGAAACCUGAUUUAAACAGUUUAAACAGGUAAACACUUGUCCUUGAAUAAGGAUUUCAAUUGAAACUCGAAAUUGUGCAUGUGGAAACAGUGUUACUUACCUUUGAAACCACCUGGAUUACAUGAACUCUGUCUUGAUUCUGUCCGAAAGAAUUUGCCAAUUCUCCGUAAAGGACAGUCAUCAAGGGCAUGCUCAAUCCAUUGCCAAUAGAGCCAAUGAUACCGAAUAUCAUCAGCAUAACAUCCA
This 4397-nucleotide long non-coding RNA is filed under the name Daucus carota (carrot). RNAcentral describes it as "long non-coding RNA (DCAR_LNC002531)". Lineage: Eukaryota; Viridiplantae; Streptophyta; Magnoliopsida; Apiales; Apiaceae. The record is from RNAcentral.